RNAcentral lists this ribosomal RNA (754 nucleotides) under uncultured Comamonadaceae bacterium. RNAcentral describes it as "bacterial SSU rRNA". It matches the Rfam family "Bacterial small subunit ribosomal RNA", at positions 28 to 776 of the family's 1533-position model. Lineage: Bacteria; Pseudomonadati; Pseudomonadota; Betaproteobacteria; Burkholderiales; Comamonadaceae. The record is from RNAcentral.
AUUGAACGCUGGCGGCAUGCCUUACACAUGCAAGUCGAACGGCAGCACGGGAGCAAUCCUGGUGGCGAGUGGCGAACGGGUGAGUAAUACAUCGGAACGUGCCCAAUCGUGGGGGAUAACGCAGCGAAAGCUGUGCUAAUACCGCAUACGAUCUACGGAUGAAAGCAGGGGAUCGCAAGACCUUGCGCGAAUGGAGCGGCCGAUGGCAGAUUAGGUAGUUGGUGAGGUAAAGGCUCACCAAGCCGUCGAUCUGUAGCUGGUCUGAGGGGACGACCAGCCACACUGGGACUGAGACACGGCCCAGACUCCUACGGGAGGCAGCAGUGGGGAAUUUUGGACAAUGGGCGAAAGCCUGAUCCAGCCAUGCCGCGUGCAGGAUGAAGGCCUUCGGGUUGUAAACUGCUUUUGUACGGAACGAAACGGCCUUUUCUAAUAAAGAGGGCUAAUGACGGUACCGUAAGAAUAAGCACCGGCUAACUACGUGCCAGCAGCCGCGGUAAUACGUAGGGUGCAAGCGUUAAUCGGAAUUACUGGGCGUAAAGCGUGCGCAGGCGGUUAUGUAAGACAGUUGUGAAAUCCCCGGGCUCAACCUGGGAACUGCAUCUGUGACUGCAUAGCUAGAGUACGGUAGAGGGGGAUGGAAUUCCGCGUGUAGCAGUGAAAAUGCGUAGAUAUGCGGAGGAACACCGAUGGCGAAGGCAAUCCCCUGGACCUGUACUGACGCUCAUGCACGAAAGCGUGGGGAACAAACAGG